Molecule: microRNA, 22 nt
Filed under: Pongo pygmaeus (Bornean orangutan)
Lineage: Eukaryota; Metazoa; Chordata; Mammalia; Primates; Hominidae
Description: ppy-miR-1299
Source: miRBase by way of RNAcentral
UUCUGGAAACCUACGUGAGGGA